This is a long non-coding RNA of Oncorhynchus tshawytscha (Chinook salmon), 6318 nucleotides long. The record is from Ensembl. Lineage: Eukaryota; Metazoa; Chordata; Actinopteri; Salmoniformes; Salmonidae.
AGACAGACCAGUAUGCCAUAGGAGGUACUGUAAGUAGCCUUUAAUUUACAGAAAGCAUCACAAUCCAAACAAACACACACACAUGCAUGCACACACACGCACACACACACACACACACACACACACACACACACACACACACACACACACACACACACACACACACAAAUAAUCUCUAGUAUUCACAACCUGGGAUAGAAGAAACAUUGUAAACAAAAAUCUGGGACCCUCAAAUUAGUAUGAUAUGUUAUAUUUGGUAUGGUAUUGGUAUGGUACUGUAUAUAUUCAUUUGUGGAUGUCCUUCACCCAUUUUGUACAUGUUUACGAAUUGCAAUUCGUACAAUAUGUUACUAAUGUUCAAUAUGUAUAUGUUAUGAUUUCCAAUUUGUUGUGGCUAACGUUAGCUAGGUGGCUAACACUAACAUCACCUACUGUCGGUGCUAGGUUAGGGUUAACGUUAGGAGUUAGGUUAAAGGGUUAGGGUUAGGAGAAGGGUUAGCUAACAUGCUAAGUAGUUGCAAAGUAGCUAAUUAACUAAAAUGCUAAAGUUGUCUGUGAUGAGAUUAGAACACACACCUUUAGGGUUGCUAGAUGUUUGUAUUAUAUGUAUGUAACCUGAUGUGAAAUGGCUAGCUAGUUAGCGGUGGUGCGCGCUAAUUGCGUUUCGAUCGUCACUUGCUCUGAGACCUUGAAGUAGUUGUUCCCCUGGCGCGAUGGGGUAACGAUGCUUCGCGGGAGGCAGUUGUUGAUGUGUGCAGAGGGUCCCUGGUUUGAGCCCAGGUAGGGACGGAAGCUAUACUGUUACAUGUACACCCAACCAUCCUCCUUUGGUUUUUGCCUUAAGUAACCUUCUUUCUUAUGCAACCAUACCAAACGUUACAUAUCAUACUAAUAUGAUUGUCCCGGAUGUUCGUUUACCACGUUAGAGCCUGGUAUUCAAAACAAAUGUACACUUUUUUUUUUAAUCAUCAUACAGUAUAUAAAUUAUAAAGAUAAAUCCUUAGGCUGUAUCCCAAAAUAGCACCCUAUUCCCUACAUAGUUCACUACUUUUGACCAGGGCGCAAAUAUAGUGCACUAUAAAGGGAAUAGUGCGACAUUGGGGAAGCAUACUUAGAAUCCAACAUAUCUGUACUGUACACCUUUAUCAUAAGUAUUUAAAGUAGAGGUCAAAGAGAGGGUAAUAUUCUGGAGAGAGAGAGAGACAGAGAGAGAAAUGUAGAGUUCCUUCAUUGCCACGUAUGUACCAUUGUGUACCGAUUCUACUAGAAGAAGAAGAUACUGAAAGACUGGAUGACGUCGCCACCCAGUGGCCAUACAAGCUCAUGGCAUCAUAGCGUCACUGCUCAUCUAUCUAUACAUACAUACUGUGUGUUCCAAAUCACACCCUAUUCCGUUUAUAGUGCAGAAAGUUUGCCCUAUGGAUCCUGGUCAAAAGUAGUGCAUUAUGAAAGGAAUGGGGUGUGAUUUGGAACCCAGACUAGUGCAUUAGAAAAGGAAUUAGGGUGUGAUUUGGAACACAAACUAGUGCAUUAUGAAAGGAAUGGGGUGUGAUUUGGAACACAGACUAGUGCAUUAUGAAAGGAAUAGGGUGUGAUUUGGAACACAGACUAGUGCAUUAGAAAAGGAAUAGGGUGUGAUUUGGAACACAGACUAGUGCAUUAGAAAAGGAAUAGGGUGUGAUUUGGAACACAGACUAGUGCAUUAGAAAAGGAAUAGGGUGUGAUUUGGAACACAGACGCACAGAGACUUUUCGGAGGAUAGUGUUGGAGAUAACCUGUUAGCUAUUUAUCUUUCUUUUCUUUCUUUCUUCAUUUUGUAUAACUCCCCUCCUCUAAUUCAAAAUGUUGGCUAUAGUGCCUGUCAUUAUAAGAUAUAUUACUUAGGCUUUAUUUCUAAAAAAUAUUCUCAAGAAUUUAAAAAAACAAAUUCUUAAUUCAAAAUCAGGAUUCUGGUGUUUCUUUUCACCUUCAAAAGUAGGUUGUAGUUUAAAAUGCAGUCAUUCCAUUGGAUGGCAGUGUUUGUCACUCAAAAUCAGCUGACAAAUGGCUAUGCCUAUAACUGACUGCCACAGGCCUGUGUUCAACAUAUGCCGUACUUGGGGCUCAGAGUUCUUUCUUAGGCCGGGAUUCAAUCCAAAUCCCAAUCUGCAUUUUAAAGGAUAUUUUACGAUUGAGCGGUUAACCGCCUUUAACCACCUCCACAACCACCUCAACAACUACCUUUAUAAGCAGCAUUGUUGGUGCUAUGAAUCAAAUGAUCUGCUCAGGAAAAUCUAUGGGUCCUAUCUUAGAACUAAUAUGAUGGAAACCCACACUAGCCCAUGCCUCCAAUCCAAUGUUUUUACAUUUGUGCAGAGUAGUGAACGAGUGUUCAGGAGAAAAGUAUGUAUUAUUGGGACGCACACUGGGUCCGAGCCUGUAAAAAGGGGGCCUAGACUUUAUCCUGGGCACAUAACUUGGUCGGGAGAAACUCCUGGCUCUACAUAUUCUAACCCGAUGAUCAUUCAACUACGGCAGUGUUUUAUGCUAUUGUGACAUCAUCGGUGUUGCCAUAGAAAUAGAAUCCCACUUGUUAAAUGGCUGCCGGUCCACCCAUUUCAAACCCAUUGAUUUGAUUGGGGAAUGUCCUUUCUAGUCAUUGUGCUUCUAUGGUCUCCUCCCCAACCUCCACUGUACUCUCUUAGAUUUAAAGGUGCCUGGAAGAACCUUUCAAGCUGAAAAAGAUUCCUGAAAGAACCCCUUUGAAAAGAGUCUUUGAGGAACCCAUAUGUAAAGGUUCAAACGUUUUGUGGCGGAAGAGAAUACAUUUAGAACCUUUUUAAUAAUAUAUUGUAGAGGUGGGCAGUCUCAGAUUGGAGGCGUGGCUUAUUGGAGGCGUGACUUUCAGAUAGUUAUUUGUGGUCACCCGUUAGUGUAAAUGUCAUUCCUGUUCAUCAUGUAAAGUUUGUACACUGCAAAUUAACAUGUUCCUUGAAUAUUUAUGUGUAUUACAUAUUCUAAUACUAACAUUGCUGAUUCCAUUCAGUAAUAAAGUGAUGAUUUGCAUAAAGCUGUUGAUGAACUCUGUUAGCCUCAUUGAAGCUACAAAACUGUCAGUGUUCAACUGUAACAUGUGAUGACAAUACAACAGAACGGAUGAACAGGAAUGACAUUUACUCUCACAGGUGGUCAAAAAAAUAUAGAUCUUAAAGCCACGCCCCUACUAAGUCACAUCUCCACUCCCGGUUCCUACAGGAACCCGUUGCUACAUUGAACCAUUGAAGCCAGGGUGUCAAACUCAUUCCAUGGAGGGCCGAGUGUAUGCUGUUUUUUAAAUAUUUUUUUUCAAUUAAGACUUGGACAACCAGGUGAAGGGAGAUCCUUACUAAUUAAUUACCUUAAUUCAUCAAUCAAGUACAAGGGUGGAGCGUAAACCCUCAGACACUCGAUCCUCUGUGGAAUGAGUUUAACACAUGUUUAUUAAAGCUUCCUCCAAGAACCCCUCAACUAACCAAAGGUGUAAAUAUGAACCAUUGACAAAAAAUGGUUACUCGAGGAUCUCCAGGGUGACUCGAGGAUCUCCAGGGUUACUCGAGGAUCCCCAGGGUUACUCGAGGAUCCCCAGGGUUACUUGAGGAUCUCCAGGGUGACUCGAGGAUCCCCAGGGUUACUCGAGGAUCCCCAGGGUGACUCGAGGAUCCCCAGGGUGACUCGAGGAUCCACAGGGUGACUCGAGGAUCUCCAGGGUUACUCGAGGGUCUCCAGGGUUACUCGAGGAUCUCCAGGAUUACUCGAGGAUCCCCAGGGUGACUCGAGGAUCCCCAGGAUUACUCGAGGAUCUCCAGGAUUACUCGAGGAUCCCCAGGGUGACUCGAGUCACCACGAAUUCUAAAUGUGUACUGUGAAAAACAACAUUCUGUUUCUAUGGAGUCGACCCCAACUUCUACUGUAACUGUAAAACAACAUUGUCUAGUUACAUCAUAUUAAAAGGCUUUAUUAUUAUUAUUAUUAUUAUUAAAAACAUACAGGACGUUUAGAUUGAAACCCCUGGCUUUGUCUCUAAUGACACCCUAUCUCCUACAUAGUGCACUACUUGUGACCUAUAGGGCUCUGGUCAAAAGUAGGUAUUUGGGAAAAAGGCCCUCACUCAGAGAAACAAAAUGGCGGGUGUUCAAUCAGGUGAGGCUGAAAUUCCAUAACAGAAUCCCUCUCAGUUUUCCCAAAUAGGAAUGUUCCCAGUCUGAAAAUUCCAGAAUUUUCCAAAAUGUAAUGGAAUUCCGGAAUUCAAAUUUUCUUAUUUUCUUGUCUUAACGUUCCGUCUGGAUCUCCAGUUCAUGUCUUUAUAUUUAGGAACUCUCUUUUUCAAUCAUGACCUUUGAACUGUUGACCUCUAACCUCUAAUUAACCUCUGAGCUCAGCCACUUACAGUCCAUCUGAGAGGUCUGAGACAGAUCCAUAGUUUCAGGGCUGUGUCCUGAUUUUCUACCUUUUUCCUAAAAGUGUGCACACUUCGAGAGAAAGGAGAGAUUGUUGGAACGUAACGUCAGCCUUCAUUAAUAGCAGUCUGUUCUGCUGGAGGUUUGGUGUAAGAAGCCGGCCUCUCGCCACAUCGUGCCCAGUAUCGGUGCAGUCUGCCUUGGCACGGUGUGGCUCUGGGGCCCCUUUGUGACUUGGAUUGGUAGUUGAGAGAAAAAAGACAGAGAGGUCGUGAGGGAGAGAGAGAGAGAAAUAGAGAGAGAGAAAUAGAGAGAGAAAGCGAGAGAGAGAAAUAGAGAGAGAAAUAGAGAGAGAGAAAUAGAGAGAGAGAAAGCGAGAGAGAGAAAUAGAGAGAGAAAUAGAGAGAGAGAAAUAGAGAGAGAAAGCGAGAGAGAGAAUAAGUAGAGGGAGAAAGACAGAGAGAUGGGAGAGAGAGAGAUGGGAGAGAGAGAGAGAGAGAGAGAGAGUAUGGCUUUUGUGUGUGUAUAACAUCACAAGUGAUUUAUCUCCGUAUCCCACCCUUUCUCUCUCUUUUUAUCCCUGUUUCGUCUGUGUUCAGCAAUAGACAGAGAAGAGCUCAGUAAUGUCUCUCUUUUCAUCCCUGUUUCGUUUGUGUUCAGCAAUAGACAGAGAAGAGCUCAGUAAUGUCUCUCUUUUUAUCCCUGUUUCGACUAUGUUCAGCAAUAGACAAGAGAAGAGCUCAGUAAUGUCUCUCUUUUCAUCCCUGUUUCGUCUAUGUUCAGCAAUAGACAAGAGAAGAGCUCAGUAAUGUCUCUCUUUUCAUCCCUGUUUCGUCUGUGUUCAGCAAUAGACAAGAGAAGAGCUCAGUAAUGUCUCUCUUUUCAAAUGGCACACUAUUCUCUAUAUAGUGCAGUGCUCAUGAACCAGGGUGGCCUUUGGGACGCAAUCUAUAUGUCUCUUUUCUCAACUCGUGUAUCUUGGUCAUGCCUCUAUCACCGUGUAUCAGAUUGAACUCUCCUCACACUGGGCUAAUGGUGCUGGUAACUUAAACAACGCAAACCCCGCUAACUCCUCCUCAAUUCCCCCCAACCCCUCCCCUAGCCCCUCGUCCUCCUCAUCCCCCUGUCCUCCAUCCGGCCUCCUCCUCUCUCUCUCUCCUCCCCUCCUCUCGUCCGUCACCAUCUCCUGAACGUGAAGCUUCAGCCCAUUCACAGCGCUCGCUGCCGUCUGCACGUUACAGUUAGCGUUGUUGGCGUAGCCGGCAUUGCCGUGGCCGCCGCCGUGGCCGUGGUUACCGUCGCAGCCGCCGUUGCCGCCAGCGAUGCCGUAGUUGCCGUGGUGACCACCGUUGCCGUUGCCGUGGUGGUGUGUCAGUAGCAGUGUUCCAUUUCCUCUCUUCUCCGUUAAUGGGAACCCUUCCGACAGCAAACUGCCACUGCUAGGUGACUGCGGCGUCGCCGAGGAGCCCAGCAAGUCCUGCCCUUUCUCCGAGGAAAGGGAGUGGUCUGGGUGGCGCUGGCCAAUCCCGCGUCGGCGGGACAGGAAGUAGAGAAGGAAUCCUCCGAGGGCGAUGCCCAGGCUGGAGGAGAGAGGGGAUCAGGGUGUUAAAGAGAGAUUUAGUUCAGUUUUGAGAGCAGCAAAGAGUGAGUGAAGAUGUAUGUGUGUGUACGUAAGUAUGUGCAUAUGCUUGCGUGCAUGUGUGUGUCCACGUGUGUGUCCACGUGUGUGUGUCCACAUGUGUGUGUGUGUUUAUCCUACACGAAGCAGAGCAUGUAGAUGGCCAGUAGGUGACGUCCUCCAGCCAUCGCCAUGGCGCCCCCAGCGCUGGGACCCUCCAGGGUGAGAUGGUAGGAGGCUCUGCGACAGACAGGACUCUCCUCCUUACCCUCUGGUCCACCCUCC